Molecule: ribosomal RNA, 253 nt
Filed under: uncultured bacterium
Lineage: Bacteria
Description: partial 16S ribosomal RNA
Rfam family: Bacterial small subunit ribosomal RNA
Source: RNAcentral
UACGUAGGGCGCAAGCGUUGUUCGGAAUUACUGGGCGUAAAGCGCACGUAGGCGGACUGUUAAGUCAGGGGUGAAAUCCUGGAGCUCAACUCCAGAACUGCCUUUGAUACUGAUGGUCUCGAGUCCGGAAGAGGUGAGUGGAAUUCCGAGUGUAGAGGUGAAAUUCGUAGAUAUUCGGAGGAACACCAGUGGCGAAGGCGGCUCACUGGUCCGGUACUGACGCUGAGGUGCGAAAGCGUGGGGAGCAAACAGG